Molecule: long non-coding RNA, 253 nt
Filed under: Cyanistes caeruleus (blue tit)
Lineage: Eukaryota; Metazoa; Chordata; Aves; Passeriformes; Paridae
Description: lncRNA (ENSCCEG00000020360.1)
Source: RNAcentral
GUUAUCCUGGACUUUAUUGUGGCUAUAUUUGGGUUGGAGGUGUCCCAGAGUGACUUGGAUGUCAGAGCAAAUGGGGUUGAUAAAUCACUUGAUGGUGUCCUUCACCAGUGCCAUUUCCUCCAGCUUGGCAGAGAAGCCCUCUCAGUGCUGUAUCGGGGGGAUUGUGCUGCUCAAAAUGUCAUCUCUCAGGUAUUUCUGUAACAAAGAAGACUCAUACAUGUAAGUAAUAUCUUUUGAUUUGGCCUUCUCUCAC